UCUACCUCUACAAGACACUUG
RNAcentral lists this microRNA (21 nucleotides) under Picea abies (Norway spruce). RNAcentral's name for it is "pab-miR11466d". Lineage: Eukaryota; Viridiplantae; Streptophyta; Pinopsida; Pinales; Pinaceae. The record is from miRBase by way of RNAcentral.